GUAGACAUGACUUACAAUUUUAAACUCAAUAGUAAAACUUUAAUAAGUUACCUUUUGGCGGUCUGAAAUGAAUGUCCAAUCAUGUUGAAGGUGUUAGGCUAUGUAGAGUUUGGUUUGUGUCUAAUCUAGUUUGUACCCAACUCGAUAUGACAAAAAGAAUGUUACAGUUUAAAUGGAUAUUUUUUAAGGCUUAGGGUGUGGCCUCACCAAUUGUUAGCCCCAAGUAAAAGAGGCUAGGCCGAUUGGGUUCCGCAAAUAGUGUACGGAUCAGUCCUUGCUGAAAGGUGAUGUAUAGGAUAAGAACAACUUUGCUCUAAGGGUUAUGCAAAGCUAGUGAUGUUUGUAUAGAUACUUUAUGUAGAGAUAGUAAGUAUGAAUGAUGGAAUCUUGCCACAUAUUUAGGUAGUUUCAUAGAUGCAUAAAAUGACUUACAUGAAAUGAUGAUACUUUUGAAAGGAAUGUCUUAAGUAAAAUGUUUUAAGAGAAAUAUUUCUUAAAGUCAAUUUUCGAAAAGAAUGUUGCAUUAAAGAUACUUUUAUCUGUAUAAUAAAAUUGAAAUGAUGAUACUUUUGAAAUGAAUGUCUUCUAGUAAAAUGUUUUAAGAGAAAUAUUUUUUAAAGUCAAUUUUUGAAAAGAAUGUUGCAUUAAAGAUACUUUUAUUUGUAUAAUAAAAUUUUGACAAUCACACACUAACACCGACUUACUUGCUUACUAAGUUGUGAACUUAUGCUUUACCUUUACACUUAUUAGGCAUCUAUGUUUUACAGAGGAGCUAGCUAAGAUUUGAGUAAGGAGAACAUUAAGUGAUAUGCAAUCGUUUGGUGUAAAAAGAUUGAUAUGAUUAUCUCUCGAAGACUUAUUAUAAGAUUUUGCAGGCUGCUCUUAGUAAUUAGUACUUUUAGAGUAAGCUGCAGACUUAACAUUUGAGAUGUGCUUGUGUAUUAAGAUUUAAGGGCAUUUUGAGUUAAUAUAUUCAAGGAGACGCUCCUAGUUAAUUGAAAAUCAAGAAAAUAUUGGAGUAAAGAAUAAAACAAACCUUGAGACGUAAAUCCAAUCUUGAAACGAGUGGUCAAAAUGCAAAAACGAUCAUAAUGAUCAUAACUAUCAGAUCAAAAACUUCUUUUGCCUCUGCAAACAUCCCCUCUUUGUGAAGUACGUCUACAAAUAUAUAUGUUGAAAAAGGCAAGAGAAGUUUUUGAUCAAAUGAAUCUAUGAAUUAACCAUUCGGUUGAGGAGUGCAAUUCCAUGAAACCUGAUAGAUAAGUGAAGAAACCUCCUUGAAAUGAUGGUGGGCAAGAACUUUUGAAGUAAAUAAGUUCAAGGAGAAGCUCCGAGUUAAUUACCAAUUAAUUAAUUUUAAUGGCAUUACAUUGUAACUCUUUUUAAAUUUAAUAUCAUUCCCCUUCAUUACGGUAUAUCCCCUAAUGGCUUCUUUAAACACUGGUAUUAGGGAAAAUUCA
This 1460-nucleotide non-coding RNA is filed under the name Betula luminifera. The record is from RNAcentral. Lineage: Eukaryota; Viridiplantae; Streptophyta; Magnoliopsida; Fagales; Betulaceae.